UUCAGAGUUUGCACUUUGGUAACGGUGGCUACAGACAUCUUCCUCCUGGGCUGGAAGGGAGAGAAGAAGAGGUGAGACUGGAGCAAAGUGCCCCAGAUAGCUGCCAACAGGGCUGCAGCAAUAGUGAAAGUGAAAGGUGUAGUCUCAGCUCUUUUAUUCAUGUGUUGCCUGCUGAUCAUCACUGGUCAAGUAGAAAGGAAACAGCAGCUCUCAGACUAUGGCUAGUCACCUCCUGGAGCUGCUGCUGGUCUACUGAGAAACUGAGCAUCUGUUUAGAGUCACUCCUUCCACGGCACCCGAUGAUUGGGCCCUUCACAUGAAUCUCCCCUGUUCUUCCUUGGUUGUAGUUUGCUUUUAUUUGAAGGGGAGUAUCUCAGCAUCUGUCAUAACUUUCAAAUUAAUGUUAUAAAGGAUGAUAAUAAUGUUAGCCGGGAAACUAACUUGGGAGCUCAUUUGCGGAAAAAGAAUGGCACAAAAUUAUAACCCAC
RNAcentral lists this long non-coding RNA (488 nucleotides) under Cavia porcellus (domestic guinea pig). RNAcentral describes it as "lncRNA (ENSCPOG00000035343.1)". Lineage: Eukaryota; Metazoa; Chordata; Mammalia; Rodentia; Caviidae. The record is from RNAcentral.